RNAcentral lists this long non-coding RNA (867 nucleotides) under Gadus morhua (Atlantic cod). Its description in RNAcentral is "lncRNA (ENSGMOG00000025185.1)". The record is from RNAcentral. Lineage: Eukaryota; Metazoa; Chordata; Actinopteri; Gadiformes; Gadidae.
GUGUUCAUAGGAGGAUGGCGGACGUUUUGCAGCAUGUUCUUCUAACCAUGGUCAUUGCAGGGUUCCUAGUCUGUGGUUCCGGGGCCUGGUACGUCAAAAUGCCGAGCCACAUCAAAGCCCUGUGGAAGUCCUGUCUGGUGAUCCCCUGCAGCUUUGACUACCACCAGUCCCCCCCCAAGGUCCCAGGCCGUGUUGUGUGGUACCAGUACGCCCGGUCCGGCUACCCUCUGGUCUACGAUGCUUGGUACAAUAGGAAGGUCAUUUCAAAGUUCUCCGGGAAGACCAGUCUCGUGCGUCACGGGCCCCGGGACUGCAGCCUCCAGAUCUCCCGAGUGGACAGCAGCCUCCACAUGGAGAAGAUCUACACCUGGGUGGACCCGGAGAACGUGGGGUGGAAAACCUACAAGUUCUACGACACCACCGUCACCAUCCAAGUGGAGCAGACAGCCGAGCCCCCAAAGAUUAGUAUCUACGGGGAGAUGAAGGUCGGCCAGUCAGUGACUGUCCAGUGCAGUGUGGUCCACACCUGUCCCACCUUCCCUCCCACCCUGAAACUCAACAUCGGAUCCGAGGGGUCCAAAGUGGCCACCGAGUUGCUGCUGGACGGCACGGCCCGGACCACCCUCACCGUCUCCCUGCACAUCCAGAGCGACCAGCAGAGAGUGGGCUGCUCCGUCCGCCAUCAUGGAGGUCUGGAAGCCGCGGCGUCUGGUAGCGUUGAAGCGGAGUGCUCCUUCCAGCCUCUGCGCAUCGUGCCGCCGUCAGACCGGAUGUUUCCAGAGGGAAAGGUGAGCAGUGUCUCCUGUUCCGUGGAGUACAGCUGCCCCAAACACGUGCCCACCCUCACCUGGAACUAUCGGUCCAUGC